Molecule: small nuclear RNA, 104 nt
Organism: Sorex fumeus (smoky shrew)
Lineage: Eukaryota; Metazoa; Chordata; Mammalia; Eulipotyphla; Soricidae
Source: RefSeq, a predicted model, not a curated record
GUGCUUGCUUCGGCAGCACAUAUACUAAAAUUGGAACGAUACAGAGAUUAGCAUGGCCCCUGUGCAAGGAUGACAUGCAAAUUUGUGAAGCAUUCCAUAUUUUU